GCCGCCAUCGUCUAGUCUGGUCUAGGACGCCAGGUUCUCAUCCUGGAAAUCAGGGGUUCGAAUCCCCUUGGCGGUACUA
RNAcentral lists this transfer RNA (79 nucleotides) under Candidatus Moranbacteria bacterium RIFOXYA12_FULL_44_15. RNAcentral's name for it is "tRNA-Glu". It matches the Rfam family "tRNA". From Rfam's summary of the family: Transfer RNA (tRNA) molecules are approximately 80 nucleotides in length. Their secondary structure includes four short double-helical elements and three loops (D, anti-codon, and T loops). Lineage: Bacteria; Candidatus Moraniibacteriota. RNAcentral also lists the same sequence under 1 other name. The record is from RNAcentral.